AUGGAAGGGAAGGCGAAGAACCCAGCGGAGUCGGUGGCCGUCGUGGCGGUGCCGUUCCCGGCGCAGGGCCAUCUCAACCAGCUCCUGCACCUGUCUCUGGAGCUAGCCUCGCGCGGGCUGGACGUGCACUACGCGGCGUCCGCCCCGCACGUCCGCCAGGCUCGCGCGCGCGUGCACGGCUGGGACGAGGACGCGCUCCGCUCGAUCCAGUUCCACGACCUCGGCAUCUCGACCUACGUCUCCCCGCCUCCAGACCCCACCGCCGACCCGCCCUUCCCCUCCCACCUCAUGCCCCUGUUCGAAGCCUUCACCGCGGGCGCGCGCGCCCCGCUCGCGGCUGUCCUCCGCGAGCUCUCUGCUUCUCGCCGCCGCGUCGUCGUCGUGUACGAUCUCAUGAACGCCUUCGCGUCCGAGGAGGCGGCGAAGCUGCCCAACGGGGAGGCUUUCGGGUUUUACUCCACCGCCGUGUCGUCCAUCGUCGGGCGGAUGGACGCCGGGCACCGCCUCCUGCGCGACAACGGCCUCACGCACCUCCCCACCUGCGUGUCCGAGGAGUUCGUGGACUACGCCAGCAAACGCGCGAGGGUGGGGCAGUCGAUUUCGGACGGCGCCGGCAUCAUCGUCAACACGUGCCGCGCGCUUGAGGGUGAGUUCGUCGACGUUGUUGCCGAGCAGAUGGCGGCCGACGGCAAGAAGCUCUUUGCCAUCGGGCCGUUGAACCCACUGCUCGAGGCGACAGCGUCCAACCAGGGGAAGACGCAGCGGCACGAGUGCCUGAACUGGCUUGACCUGCAGCCGCCGUCAUCGGUGCUCUACGUGUCGUUCGGCUCGUCGUCCUCGCUCCGAGAGGAGCAAGUCGCGGAGCUUGCGGCGGCGCUGCACGGCAGCAAGCAGCGCUUCAUCUGGGUGCUGCGGGACGCCGACCGCGGCGACAUAUUCGCGGACGCCGCCGACAACCGGCACGCCGAGCUGCUGUCCCAGUUCACCAAGCAGACCGAAGGCACGGGGCUGGUGAUCACAGGGUGGGCCCCGCAGCUGGAGAUCCUGGCGCACGGCGCCACGGCGGCGUUCAUGAGCCACUGCGGCUGGAACUCGACCGUGGAGAGCAUGAGCCACGGCAAGCCAAUUCUCGGCUGGCCCAUGCACUCCGACCAGCCGUGGGACGCGGAGCUGGUGUGCAGCUACCUCAAGGCCGGCCUCCUAGUGAGGCCGUGGGAGAAACACGGCGAGGUGAUAUCGGCGACAACCAUACAGGAGGCCAUUGAAACGAUGAUGGUCGCCGAGGAAGGGGUCGCAGUGAGGCAGCGGGCAGAGGCGCUCGGGGAGGCCGUCCGUUCGUCGGCAGCUCAGGGCGGAUCAUCGCACAAGGAACUGGAGGGCUUCAUAUCAUACAUGACAAGGUGA
Molecule: ribosomal RNA, 1404 nt
Filed under: Triticum aestivum (bread wheat)
Lineage: Eukaryota; Viridiplantae; Streptophyta; Magnoliopsida; Poales; Poaceae
Description: partial small subunit ribosomal RNA
Source: RNAcentral